UGGGGAAUAUUGCACAAUGGGCGCAAGCCUGAUGCAGCCAUGCCGCGUGUAUGAAGAAGGCCUUCGGGUUGUAAAGUACUUUCAGCGGGGAGGAAGGGAGUAAAGUUAAUACCUUUGCUCAUUGACGUUACCCGCAGAAGAAGCACCGGCUAACUCCGUGCCAGCAGCCGCGGUAAUACGGAGGGUGCAAGCGUUAAUCGGAAUUACUGGGCGUAAAGCGCACGCAGGCGGUUUGUUAAGUCAGAUGUGAAAUCCUCGGGCUCAACCUGGGAACUGCAUCUGAUACUGGCAAGCUUGAGUCUCGUAGAGGGGGGUAGAAUUCCAGGUGUAGAGGUGAAAUGCGUAGAGAUCUGGAGGAAUACCGGUGGCGAAGGCGGCCCCCUGGACGAAGACUGACGCUCAGGUGCGAAAGCGUGGGGAGCAAACAGG
RNAcentral lists this ribosomal RNA (429 nucleotides) under Chloroflexota bacterium. RNAcentral's name for it is "Chloroflexi bacterium partial 16S ribosomal RNA". It matches the Rfam family "Bacterial small subunit ribosomal RNA", at positions 355 to 776 of the family's 1533-position model. Lineage: Bacteria; Bacillati; Chloroflexota. The record is from RNAcentral.